Molecule: long non-coding RNA, 471 nt
Organism: Branchiostoma floridae (Florida lancelet)
Lineage: Eukaryota; Metazoa; Chordata; Leptocardii; Amphioxiformes; Branchiostomatidae
Exons: 2
Source: RefSeq, a predicted model, not a curated record
GGUCAUGUAGGUCAUCGUCCGAUCAGAGUCUACAGCUGAUUGACCUACUUUCGAGGUGCCAUCCUAGUGCCAUCCCUGCGAAGUCAGCAAGUUUCCCUGUCGUCUUCAUCUAAAUAUUAAUUUGCGUCUGAGGUCUUCACCAAUCAGCCGUGCAAUAGAUGAGGUCAUCCUUUAAUGACGUAGCUUGUGGUAUAAAAAGUCCGUGGAAACUUUGGCGUCAAGCAGUGCCCGGGAAUCCACACCACAACAUGCUUGUGUCAAGCUACCGGGACCGCAGCGGACGAAGCGGGUGGCGGGACCGCGUGCAAAGUCGGGACGUCCCCGUUAGUCAGAAGAGGCCGUUCGUUACCAUCAUGUGGUAGCCCCCGGACUACAGAAGGAUGGCACGUAUCCCAGUCUUGGAUGAAUUGGAGUGUCAGCCGAUAUCCCCCAACAAAUAUCAAAUGUGCCAUCAUCAUGAAAGCCAAAAAA